AUGGUUAUUUACUCUUUAACCAGUCUGUGGUUUUGGACUUUUGAGAAGCUUUCAGAAGAUAUGCUGCAGAGGGUCUGUAAGGGCGGCUCAUUGUCUAUAACGAUGAACAUAAUAAUUGCUCUUCUGUGUAUUCUGACAAACCAAGUCAUAAACCAAACCGAAGGUAAGUUCAUUUUUCCUCAUUACAAGAUAUGUCUCUUCUGUAUUCCUAAAUGUUACUAGGUUGCGCUCAUCAUUACAUAUAUUGCUCACUAUGAUGUCACACAGAUAUUUUUCCUGCAAGGAUCCUGGCCCAGCAGACAAUUAUAAGUGAAAACAGUGACCUUAUUGUAACAUGCAGCACAUUUGGAAAAAAGAAAAACUCCAUGGUUUUUAUUUAUUUGUUAAAAAAUGGGCACGGAAUCCAGAAUCUCACCCAGAAGCAAGAUCGAAGUGACACUACGUUCAUCAUACCCAGAGCUGGUCUUUAUUACAGUGGAAAUUACAGCUGUGUUUAUUCCCCAAAACAUUAUACAAUUUCUGAAGUAGCCAAGAAAGGAGACAACAUCAUUGAGAUUCUGGUCAUAGGUAAGUGUUUUGACUCCUGAACACAUGAUGUCAUUGUUAUUUCUUUCCACUCAUUUUCUCCUGUUUCCAUGCAGCCAAUUUUCUCCCAGCAGAUAUUUCAAUAAUUGGAGCAUCCUCUGUUCAUGAGGGAGACUAUGUUGAAUUCCAGUGCACAGUGUCUCAACACCUACAUACACUUGGUGGAUGUAAAUUUAUCUACGCUUACCUGAGGAAGAACGACACGAUUCUGCUAGUGCAAUUAUUUAAUGUCUCUCAGAAGCUGGCAACUUUCAUCAUUGAUAGUGCAGUUUUGAGGGAUUCAGGUCAUUACAGCUGCAUAGUGCUGCCAUCUAAAUGCUUCUAUGAGCAUAAGUUCAGAGUUCAUGGAACAAACAAUUUAUUUCUUCAGGUCAAAGGUAAGAAUGUCUUCAUGCUUCUA
This 985-nucleotide long non-coding RNA is filed under the name Oreochromis niloticus (Nile tilapia). RNAcentral's name for it is "lncRNA (ENSONIG00000032710.1)". Lineage: Eukaryota; Metazoa; Chordata; Actinopteri; Cichliformes; Cichlidae. The record is from RNAcentral.